AAGGGAGCUUGCUCUUGACGGUACCUGCAGAAAAAGCACCGGCUAACUACGUGCCAGCAGCCGCGGUAAUACGUAGGGUGCAAGCGUUGUCCGGAAUUAUUGGGCGUAAAGAGCUCGUAGGCGGUUUGUCGCGUCUGCUGUGAAAUCUGGGGGCUCAACCCCCAGCCUGCAGUGGGUACGGGCAGACUAGAGUGCGGUAGGGGAGAUUGGAAUUCCUGGUGUAGCGGUGGAAUGCGCAGAUAUCAGGAGGAACACCGAUGGCGAAGGCAGAUCUCUGGGCCGUAACUGACGCUGAGGAGCGAAAGCAUGGGGAGCGAACAGGAUUAGAUACCCUGGUAGUCCAUGCCGUAAACGUUGGGAACUAGAUGUAGGGGCCAUUCCACGGUUUCUGUGUCGCAGCUAACGCAUUAAGUUCCCCGCCUGGGGAGUACGGCCGCAAGGCUAAAACUCAAAGGAAUUGACGGGGGCCCGCACAAGCGGCGGAGCAUGCGGAUUAAUUCGAUGCAACGCGAAGAACCUUACCAAGGCUUGACAUAUACCGGAAACGUCCAGAGAUGGUCGCCCCGCAAGGUCGGUAUACAGGUGGUGCAUGGUUGUCGUCAGCUCGUGUCGUGAGAUGUUGGGUUAAGUCCCGCAACGAGCGCAACCCUCGUUCUAUGUUGCCAGCACGUUAUGGUGGGAACUCAUAGGAGACUGCCGGGGUCAACUCGGAGGAAGGUGGGGAUGACGUCAAAUCAUCAUGCCCCUUAUGUCUUGGGCUUCACGCAUGCUACAAUGGCCGAUACAAAGGGCUGCGAUACCGUAAGGUGGAGCGAAUCCCAAAAAGUCGGUCUCAGUUCGGAUUGAGGUCUGCAACUCGACCUCAUGAAGUCGGAGUCGCUAGUAAUCGCAGAUCAGCAACGCUGCGGUGAAUACGUUCCCGGGCCUUGUACACACCGCCCGUCAAGUCAUGAAAGUCGGUAACACCCGAAGCCGGUGGCCCAAC
RNAcentral lists this ribosomal RNA (985 nucleotides) under Frondihabitans peucedani. Its description in RNAcentral is "bacterial SSU rRNA". It matches the Rfam family "Bacterial small subunit ribosomal RNA", at positions 448 to 1439 of the family's 1533-position model. Lineage: Bacteria; Bacillati; Actinomycetota; Actinomycetes; Micrococcales; Microbacteriaceae. The record is from RNAcentral.